AGAGAAUGAGAGAGAUAAAGUCUGGUGUUGCAACAGUAACGGCAGAGCAACAGCUUCAGCAACGGCAUCAGCAACAUUACAGUCGACGAAACUUUGUGGAACUCUACUCGUUAUAGAGGAGCAAAACGAGCCGCCAAAUGUUCUCCACGAAGGCACUCGAAAGUUUCUCAAACGAUCACGUCCUACCAACUUACGCGUUUCCUAUGCUCGUGUUUACAGGAAGGGGUUGGAUCGUUCGAUAUUAAAGUGCUUAGCUAAGUCAUUUGGCUAAGAAUAGAAGCAAAUGGGUGAAGGGUGAAACGUGGGAGGACACUAAAUGAGAAGAGACGAGAAUCGUUACAACGAUAGUUUGACGUUCAAAGGGCGUUACUUGAAAUAGUUUUUUAAGAAGAGAUAUUUCUGAAGGAACGACGUAAAAAGUAUC
This is a long non-coding RNA of Vespa mandarinia (Asian giant hornet), 424 nucleotides long. Lineage: Eukaryota; Metazoa; Arthropoda; Insecta; Hymenoptera; Vespidae. The record is from RefSeq and is a predicted model, not a curated record.